GGUAAACCCGUGGCAGCAGCAGCGGUAAGACGGGGGGUGCAAGCGGUACUCGGAAUCACUGGGCGUAAAGAGCAUGUAGGCGGAUUAAUAAGUUUGAAGUGAAAUCCUAUAGCUUAACUAUAGAACUGCUUUGAAAACUGUUAAUCUAGAAUGUGGGAGAGGUAGAUGGAAUUUCUGGUGUAGGGGUAAAAUCCGUAGAGAUCAGAAGGAAUACCGAUUGCGAAGGCGAUCUACUGGAACAUUAUUGACGCUGAGAUGCGAAAGCGUGGGGAGCAAACAGGAUUAGAUACCCGGGUAGUC
This 300-nucleotide ribosomal RNA is filed under the name uncultured Caldimonas sp. RNAcentral's name for it is "bacterial SSU rRNA". It matches the Rfam family "Bacterial small subunit ribosomal RNA", at positions 496 to 795 of the family's 1533-position model. The record is from RNAcentral. Lineage: Bacteria; Pseudomonadati; Pseudomonadota; Betaproteobacteria; Burkholderiales; Sphaerotilaceae.